Molecule: small RNA, 147 nt
Filed under: uncultured Kluyvera sp.
Lineage: Bacteria; Pseudomonadati; Pseudomonadota; Gammaproteobacteria; Enterobacterales; Enterobacteriaceae
Description: Glm Y RNA activator of glmS mRNA
Rfam family: Glm Y RNA activator of glmS mRNA
About the family: This family consists of a number of bacterial RNA genes of around 167 bases in length.
Source: RNAcentral
AGUGGCUCAUUCACCUCCUUAUGUCAGCCCCUUCGGGACGUGCUACAUAAACUUCGAAUGAUGCACAACAAGGUGCCUGCCGUCCAGCAAAUGAUAAUAGCGCUGCUUUAUCAACCAUCGGGCGAAACGUUGAGUUAGGCACCGCCU